UAGAGUUUGAUCCUGGCUCAGGACGACCCUUUGCGGUGUGCUUAACACAUGCAAGUCGUGCGACGAACCACCCUUCGGUCUGGGGCAAAGCGGCGAACGGGUGAGUAACACGUGGGUGAUCUGCCCCGAUGACUGGGACAACCCGAGGACACUCGGGCUAAUACCGGAUGUGGUGCCUGGACUCAAGUCCGGUCACUAAAGGUAGCUUCGGCUUCCGCAUUGGGAGGGGCCCGCGGCCCAUUAGCUUGUUGGUGGGGUCAAGGCCUACCAAGGCAACGAUGGGUAGCUGGUCUGAGAGGACGAUCAGCCACACUGGGACUGAGACACGGCCCAGACUCCUACGGGAGGCAGCAGUGGGGAAUCUUGCGCAAUGCGCGAAAGCGUGACGCAGCAACACCGCGUGAGGGAAGACGGCCUUAGGGUUGUAAACCUCUUUCAGAUGGGACGAAGGUGAUGCGGUGA
RNAcentral lists this ribosomal RNA (462 nucleotides) under uncultured bacterium. RNAcentral's name for it is "bacterial SSU rRNA". It matches the Rfam family "Bacterial small subunit ribosomal RNA", at positions 1 to 462 of the family's 1533-position model. The record is from RNAcentral.